UACGUAGGGACCGAGCGUUGUCCGGAAUCAUUGGGCGUAAAGCGCGUGUAGGCGGCUUGGUAAGUCCGCUCUGAAAGCCCGGGGCUCAACCCCGGGAGGCGGGUGGAUACUGUCAAGCUCGAGUCCGGAAGAGGCGAGUGGAAUUCCUGGUGUAGCGGUGAAAUGCGCAGAUAUCAGGAGGAACACCAAUGGCGAAGGCAGCUCGCUGGGACGUGACUGACGCUGAGACGCGAAAGCGUGGGGAGCAAACAGG
RNAcentral lists this ribosomal RNA (253 nucleotides) under uncultured bacterium. RNAcentral's name for it is "partial 16S ribosomal RNA". It matches the Rfam family "Bacterial small subunit ribosomal RNA", at positions 524 to 776 of the family's 1533-position model. The record is from RNAcentral.